GGCUCCAUAGUGCAGUGGUUAGCACGUCUGCUUUACAUGCAGAAGGUCCUGGUUUCACGCCCCGGGUGGAGUCA
Molecule: non-coding RNA, 74 nt
Organism: Pteropus alecto (black flying fox)
Lineage: Eukaryota; Metazoa; Chordata; Mammalia; Chiroptera; Pteropodidae
Source: Rfam